AUAGGCAAAACCAAGACGAUGUCUCACAGCUCCUUGACCUUGAAUUUGAGUGAAGAAAGCAGUUCAUCGAUUCAGAGACCCUCAAGGAAGCCGACAGACCUGGCAAAAUCCUUGAGGCCUACUCAUGCUUCAAGAACAUAGACCAUGUUCUUGAGGAGCUGAGACGAAUAGUGGCGAAGGAUAACGUGCAUUAUGUGAAAGAGCCGAAGGAGUGCUGGGCAGACUACAGAACCAAACUGUCCUUUUAUAGUGUCUAUAAGAAGGUCCUGAAGCCACCGGUUGGACUUCCUGUUGAUGAGCAAGCCAUUGACCUGAUCAUCUCCCUGCCAGAUAUGUUUCCUUCUGGUUACCCCGCACCAAAGAAGAUGUCAUCUCCAUCAGAGGCGUUCAUUCAUGUUCUGCAGCCCACAGAGGCCCCAGACGUCUAUCUGAGAAGACGGCCACAAGCCACACCAUUUAUCAUGGUUAGAGAGGAGGACUGCUUCCUCUGCGCCGGAAAUGCCCCUGUUGGUAGGAGCAGUCUUGCUGAGUCGGUCCUGUACGUCAUGGCGUACAAUUACGCAUUUCACAUGACGUAUCCAAAAUGUGUGUCAUCGGUUCUGUUUUUCCUUCAGACUUAGGUCUUGGGUGAUGCGAUUCAUGAGAAAGACCAAACUGCAGCUUUUAAACGUGCCAAAGCUGACUGGUAGACCUUUCUUAGGUAGUGUGUAUGAGAGAUGAAUGCUCAAGUUCAUUGUUUGAAUAGUUAAGGGCAACAGAUGUGUGUGUUCAGGCCCUGUCUCGAUGCUGCAACAUCAUCUCUUCAUUGUUAGGCCUGCCAGUCAGCUUUUGCACAUUGU
This is a long non-coding RNA of Fundulus heteroclitus (mummichog), 839 nucleotides long. RefSeq lists it as uncharacterized. The transcript has 4 exons. Lineage: Eukaryota; Metazoa; Chordata; Actinopteri; Cyprinodontiformes; Fundulidae. The record is from RefSeq and is a predicted model, not a curated record.